GUGGCUCAGUUGGGAGAGCAUGGUCCUGUGUGGCUGUUGGUAGAGCAUGGUCCUGUGUGGCUCAGUUGGUAGAGCAUGGUCUUGUGUGGCUCAGUUGGUAGAGCAUGGUCCUGUGUGGCUCAGUUGGUAGAGCAUGGUCCUGUGUGGCUGUUGGUAGAGCAUGGUCCUGUGUGGCUGUUGGUAGAGCAUGGUCCUGUGUGGCUGUUGGUAGAGCAUGGUCUUGUGUGGCUGUUGGUAGAGCAUGGUCUUGUGUGGCUCAGUUGGUAGAGCAUGGUCCUGUGUGGCUGUUGGUAGAGCAUGGUCCUGUGUGGCUCAGUUGGUAGAGCAUGGUCCUGUGUGGCUGUUGGUAGAGCAUGGUCCUGUGUGGCUGUUGGUAGAGCAUGGUCCUGUGUGGCUGUUGGUAGAGCAUGGUCUUGUGUGGCUGUUGGUAGAGCAUGGUCCUGUGUGGCUGUUGGUAGAGCAUGGUCUUGUGUGGCUCAGUUGGUAGAGCAUGGUCCUGUGUGGCUGUUGGUAGAGCAUGGUCUUGUGUGGCUGUUGGUAGAGCAUGGUCUUGUGUGGCUCAGUUGGUAGAGCAUGGUCCUGUGUGGCUGUUGGUAGAGCAUGGUCCUGU
Molecule: long non-coding RNA, 610 nt
Organism: Oncorhynchus keta (chum salmon)
Lineage: Eukaryota; Metazoa; Chordata; Actinopteri; Salmoniformes; Salmonidae
Exons: 3
Source: RefSeq, a predicted model, not a curated record